Molecule: non-coding RNA, 36 nt
Filed under: Trypanosoma brucei brucei
Lineage: Eukaryota; Euglenozoa; Kinetoplastea; Trypanosomatida; Trypanosomatidae
Source: RNAcentral
ACAAAACCAAACAAUUAAAUAUAAUGAAAAAGUGAC